ACAUUCAGGUCAAAGCGUGUUCCUCUACAAACCCUCUUUUCCUCCAAUUCUGUUUUCAUAUUUUCCUGUUCAUCCUCAUCUAGAAUGUGGUUCCCAUCACGGUCAAACUGUGAGAACGCGGCAGAAAUUUCAUGAUCGGCAUGUCCCAUCCUACAAGAUCAUCAGAGUGCACACAGAAGCUGUGAACAAAAGGAGGAUUUACACGUCGCGGUGCAGAGCAAGUGGACAUGGCCUGCCGUUACUGGUUGGGAUGUUGGAGCUGCGUUGUGGAGUGGCGGCACACAGUUGAAAAGCUGUGGUGUGGCUGCGAGCGAAGCAGCCACUGACACCAGCUGACCCUCUGCCGGUGGUGACGUCGGAAACACUUGCACAGGCUUCUCCGUCGGCCUCCUCCAGCUCGCUGACCUCUCCUCCCUCAUCGCCACUGCAUUCUGACUCGUCGCUGUCACUUUCACACGAGCUCGUCGUCUCAUUCUCAGAGUCUGAGUAAACCUCGGCUCCAUGGAAGAUGUAGUGAUGCGGUGCUUGAAACAGUAAACUUCAACAAAGUGAUAAAAAGCCUGAAACAAGCACGAUUGGCCUCUUAUUUGAGCUGCUCAAAGUCCCCGCCCAGUCGAUGACAAAGCUCAUUGACGAUGACAUCGCAGUCGCCGAGCAGUUCCACAUCAAAGUUGAGGUGAGGCAGCUGCUCCCUAUUGAUCAAGACCUGAGGCACUUCAUGAGGGAUGGAGUCUGGAUGGGAUGACAAGAAAAUCUGUUGCAAACAUUUGCAGACAAAUCAAUUCACUAGUCUGGGCAAAAGCAUACGUGGGAUGAGGGCGACUGGUCGGACUUUCAGUGACGACCCGAUGACAAUCAGAAGGUCCACCUCAUCCUUGUCCUGUUUCAUGGCUCUGUGAAACAUUUCUGGAAGAUUCUCUCCAAAGAAGACGAUGUCAGGUUUCAUUAUUGCUAAAGGAAUAUCCGGACAGCGAGGACAAUGGGGGACCUGCUGCAAGAGGAAUGUAUAGUUCGUAAUUAGGAUUUCAAACACUUACAUCAAUUAGAGUUUGGCAAAGAUGCACUAACUCAAAUCUAAUACUCAAUGAAAAACACCGUUGACAAGCUAACAAAAAUUUGCAUUGAACUUGUGGAACUUAUAGCUCUCAAAAUAAUAAACAUUGGUACACAAAUACUGUAUAGACUCAUACAAACAGGCACUAUAACAAUACCUUCAGGCAUAUACAGUAUUCAAACGCUGUGAAAAACGGGUCAUAAACAAUAUUCGAUUAUGACUUCUACUUUCUUUAUGUUACUGCAAGGGUGUAUCUCAUUGCAUGCACCACACAGGCCCUCAGAGGUCAAGAUGCACACAGCAGGAACACCACUCUAAACUUGGCACACACAAACAAGGGCAGUACAAGCCUCACUACAUUAUUCCGAUCCACCACGACAUUGUCGAUGUAACUAUACCCCAGAUACAUAAAGAAAUUAAAAAGUGUACUGCCGCACAUGCUGUUCCCACCAUAUACGGACAGUAGUUUUAUUGAAUCUAUUUAAUUGUAGAAUAUGCUUAUAAGUUGAACAGUGGUUAUGUUGCAUUUUUUUGUUUUUAUUGAGGUUAUUUUUCAGGGUUUUCUUCAUCUAAUUUUGUUUUAUUCAAUUGUAGUAUAUUCUUGUGUUUAGCGUUAAUGUAUAACCCAUUGGUUAACAAUAAAUGGGUCAGUUUUUCCUCAUACCAACUGUUGCUGACUAUUGUUCUCCGUUUCAGUAUGGUAAUAUCACUUGAUUGAAGCCGUUUCGAAAAAACAAAAGUAAAAGCCUGUCUGACGCAUGCUGAUAUCAAAUCAAUAUCGAAAUCAGCAGAUACUCAAAGCUGCAAUAUCGGUAUCGUAUCAGAAAGGAAAAGGUUGUAUCGGGACAUCCCUAAUCACGUCACAUGAGACUUUAACUCAGGCAUCCUCUAAAGCACAGGUGUCAAACUCAAGGUCCACGGGGACCACAUACGGCCCAUCAUAUUGUUUAUGUGGCCCACUCAAACAAAUAGUAGCUACUUCAUGUUUCUUUCAAUUUUGGCAAAAAAAAAAGUCUUGAGAAAAUUGUAAACCGUUUUUACAAGCAUUCCUCCCUCCCACUAAAUCCCUUGUGAACAUAAAUUUAACAAUAGUUGUAUACUUAAAUAUUUUCAAGAAUAUACAACCCCAAUUCCAAUGAAGUUGGGAUGUUGUGUUAAACAAAAAAAACAGAAUACAAUGAUUUACAAAUCAUGUUCAACCUAUAUUUAA
Molecule: long non-coding RNA, 2264 nt
Organism: Phycodurus eques (leafy seadragon)
Lineage: Eukaryota; Metazoa; Chordata; Actinopteri; Syngnathiformes; Syngnathidae
Exons: 6
Source: RefSeq, a predicted model, not a curated record